UAUUAACCCUUCGCCUCCUGAAUAAGAAUGAAAAAACAGUAUCCCAUUAACAGGGUCUAGCAACCAAACACAUUGAAGCAAUCUAUCAUAUUAAAAGUUAUAAGGUUUUAGGCCCCCAAAGGUUUGGGGACACAAGGGAAGUUUUAAACAGAAAGCAGUUUAUUAUCCUCAUACAUCAAUUCCUGACCUUUUGAAUUACACAAUUCAAACUUGUUUUUCAGAACACUGUAUCAAUU
This is a non-coding RNA of Pelobates cultripes (western spadefoot toad), 236 nucleotides long. The record is from the annotation of a GenBank genome assembly. NCBI's taxonomy places the organism in Eukaryota, Metazoa, Chordata, Amphibia, Anura, Pelobatidae.